This 409-nucleotide ribosomal RNA is filed under the name bacterium. Its description in RNAcentral is "partial 16S ribosomal RNA". It matches the Rfam family "Bacterial small subunit ribosomal RNA", at positions 355 to 776 of the family's 1533-position model. The record is from RNAcentral.
UGGGGAAUAUUGCACAAUGAGCGAAAGCCUGAUGCAGCGACGCCGCGUGAGGGAUGACGGCCUUCGGGUUGUAAACCUCUUUCAGUAGGGACGAAGCGCAAGUGACGGUACCUGCAGAAGAAGCACCGGCUAACUACGUGCCAGCAGCCGCGGUAAUACGUAGGGUGCGAGCGUUGUCCGGAAUUACUGGGCGUAAAGAGCUCGUAGGCGGUUUGUCACGUCGUCUGUGAAAUCCUAGGGCUUAACCCUGGACGUGCAGGCGAUACGGGCUGACUUGAGUACUACAGGGGAGACUGGAAUUUCUGGUGUAGCGGUGGAAUGCACAGAUAUCAGGAAGAACACCGAUGGCGAAGGCAGGUCUCUAGGUAGUAACUGACGCUGAGGAGCGAAAGCAUGGGUAGCGAACAGG